Molecule: small RNA, 897 nt
Filed under: uncultured Paecilomyces
Lineage: Eukaryota; Fungi; Ascomycota; Eurotiomycetes; Eurotiales; Thermoascaceae
Description: eukaryotic LSU rRNA
Rfam family: Eukaryotic large subunit ribosomal RNA (bases 620-897)
Source: RNAcentral
CUUGGUCAUUUAGAGGAAGUAAAAGUCGUAACAAGGUCUCCGUUGGUGAACCAGCGGAGGGAUCAUUACCGAGUUUACAACUCCCAAACACCCUGUGAACUUAUACCAUUUACUGUUGCUUCGGCGGGUCAUGGCCCCGGGGAAGGACAGCGGUCGCCGUCAGGCCUCAGCUGCCCGCCCCCGGAAACAGGCGCCCGCCGGGGAACUCAAACUCUUCUGUAUUUCUUUAUCUAAUAUAUACUGUCUGAGUAAAAACUAAAAUGAAUCAAAACUUUCAACAACGGAUCUCUUGGUUCUGGCAUCGAUGAAGAACGCAGCGAAAUGCGAUAAGUAAUGUGAAUUGCAGAAUUCAGCGAAUCAUCGAAUCUUUGAACGCACAUUGCGCCCGCCAGUAUUCUGGCGGGCAUGCCUGUUCGAGCGUCAUUUCAACCCUCAAGUCCCCUGUGGACUCGGUGUUGGGGACCGGCGAGACAGCCGCGGAUCUUCUUCCGCAGCGAGUCGCCGCCCCCCAAAUGACUUGGCGGCCUCGUCGCGGCCCUCCUCUGCGUAGUAUAGCACACCUCGCAACAGGAGCCCGGCGAAUGGCCACUGCCGUAAAACCCCCCAACUUUUUCAGAGUUGACCUCGAAUCAGGUAGGAAUACCCGCUGAACUUAAGCAUAUCAAUAAGCGGAGGAAAAGAAACCAACAGGGAUUGCCCCAGUAACGGCGAGUGAAGCGGCAACAGCUCAAAUUUGAAAUCUGGCCCCCAGGGUCCGAGUUGUAAUUUGCAGAGGAUGCUUUUGGCAAGGUGCCUUCCGAGUUCCCUGGAACGGGACGCCAUAGAGGGUGAGAGCCCCGUCUGGUUGGAUACCGAGCCUCUGUAAAGCUCCUUCGACGAGUCGAGUUGUUUGGGAAU